This is a small nucleolar RNA of Suncus etruscus (white-toothed pygmy shrew), 97 nucleotides long. RefSeq annotates it as small nucleolar RNA SNORD116. The record is from RefSeq and is a predicted model, not a curated record. The transcript has a single exon. Lineage: Eukaryota; Metazoa; Chordata; Mammalia; Eulipotyphla; Soricidae.
GGAUCGAUGAUGAUUACUUCUCUCAAACACAUUUCUUAGAAGUCUGAACAAAAUGAGUGAGAACUCAAUGUCGCAGUUCUCCUCAUAGCUGAGGUCC